GAAGGACAAAGCCAGGGAAAAAAAUCAGGUUAUCAAAAAAUAAGAUGAGGAACCACUGGCAGCAAGCCAUCUUACGAAGAAUCGUAUGACAGACAUGUGAUAAUGGAGACAUCAGCCACUUGUGAUAAAACCCAAUCAAAGCACAACCAAGGGUGAAAUUAUUACGACCAAAGUGGAACGAAUGGGGUCAGCUCCUAUUGGAUAAUCGAUACAGCUUGCUGCACCAGGGCGUGCAAGGUCAAGGUCGCCUCCUGGGGGCAUGAACGCUGCUAUCGUCAUGAACAACAGGAUCCAGAUAGGAGCAAAAGGUACAGAUACUUUCACAAGAACGAAUCCAGUGCAUACUUGAGAUAUAAUGUCUCAUUGAACAUUCGACAUUCGAUCGGUCAGUUCAAGGUUCCCAAGAAAGCAUCCAGCGAACCGGAAAAAAGAUAAAUGCUAAUGCCAAGGCCGUGACGACAUAAUAGGUGGACCUCGAAAUAGUGAUGAGAUACGGUCAGUCUGGCAAUUGCUCGAUUCGAUCAAAGAGUGGUCAGAGGUUAUCGUCAAGAACCGGUUCAUACAUUCAGUAGUUUUUUUCGACAACUUUUCACUAGGAAAUCGGCAGUUAAGACUGCUUUGGUUCGUUCGACGACCGAAAUUUAUAUGUUCACCUUCGUUUGAUUGAAAAUUCAUAUGAUAAUUCAUUCGGGAUAAUGAAU
Coccinella septempunctata (seven-spotted ladybird) is the source of this 701-nucleotide long non-coding RNA. RefSeq lists it as uncharacterized. The record is from RefSeq and is a predicted model, not a curated record. Lineage: Eukaryota; Metazoa; Arthropoda; Insecta; Coleoptera; Coccinellidae. The transcript has 4 exons.